RNAcentral lists this ribosomal RNA (274 nucleotides) under uncultured bacterium. RNAcentral describes it as "partial 16S ribosomal RNA". It matches the Rfam family "Bacterial small subunit ribosomal RNA", at positions 523 to 796 of the family's 1533-position model. The record is from RNAcentral.
AUACGGAGGAUCCAAGCGUUAUCCGGAUUUAUGGGGUUUAAAGGGUGCGCAGGCGGUAUUAUAAGUCAGUGGUGAAAUCUGGAGGCUCAACCUCCAAACUGCCAUUGAUACUGUAGUACUAGAGUACAGACGAAGUAGGCGGAAUGUAGCAUGUAGCGGUGAAAUGCUUAGAUAUGUUACAGAACACCGAUCGCGAAGGCAGCUUACUAGACUGUUACUGACGCUAAUGCACGAAAGCGUGGGGAGCGAACAGGAUUAGAAACCCUAGUAGUCC